CCUACGGGGGGCUGCAGUGGGGAAUAUUGCACAAUGGGGGAAACCCUGAUGCAGCGACGCCGCGUGAGUGAAGAAGUAAUUCGUUAUGUAAAGCUCUAUCAGCAGGGAAGAAAAUGACGGUACCUGAGUAAGAAGCCCCGGCUAACUACGUGCCAGCAGCCGCGGUAAUACGGAGGGGGCAAGCGUUAUCCGGAUUUACUGGGUGUAAAGAGAGCGUAGACGGCAGUGCAAGUCUGGAGUGAAAGGCGGGGGCGCAACCCCCGGACUGCUCUGGAAACUGUACGGCUGGAGUGCAGGAGAGGUAAGUGGAAUUCCUAGUGUAGCGGUGAAAUGCGUAGAUAGUAGGAGGAACACCAGUGGCGAAGGCGGCUUACUGGACUGUAACUGACGUUGAGGCUCGAAAGCGUGGGGAGCAAACAGGAUUAGAUACCCUAGUAGUC
This 440-nucleotide ribosomal RNA is filed under the name uncultured bacterium. RNAcentral describes it as "partial 16S ribosomal RNA". It matches the Rfam family "Bacterial small subunit ribosomal RNA", at positions 338 to 795 of the family's 1533-position model. The record is from RNAcentral.